GUCGUGGAUUCGUCGGCAGUGCAUGGUCAUGCUGGACAGGAAGAUAUCGGUAGCCAUUUUACGAGUGAUGUUUGGAACUUUGGCGAGAGGUGAGUAAAACCAAGCUUUAUCGAGUGAAUACUUCUAUCACUGAAUAGCUUUGUUUUGGUUUGUUACACACGCAUGCUGCAUGUACAGAGCAUUCGAUUUAUCAACCUCCAGUCAAGUACAGACCCAGGGAAGCUUCUGUACUGUUGCAAGGGCCAUCCACUACGCCGUGAAGUUGAACAGCCCCGAAGUUGUAACCUUUUAUCUAAGAUUUACAUAUUUUAUCGUGAUGUUGCACAUGCUGAUCGUCAUCGCCGAACUGACCUGUUGAAGAUGGUGAAGAGGAGUAAGGUUGACACUAUUAAUCUGGCCUGGACGUCUCUCCUCGAGACACUGUCCAAGUUGCCAAGUCAUGAGAAAAUGGAUGUCCUGGACCUGGAGACCACAUCAGCUGUGUUUUCAAGUUUAAUUUGCGGUACAGUAGUGGCAAGAAAGCCGUCCAUCAUGCCAGCAUCAUCCGCAGCAGCAACAGCAGCAGCAGCACCCCAGCCCACCGCCAUAGUCAACUGCACUGCAGAGACACCAAAAAGAUACCAUGGUGGUUGGUAUGUUGUUGCGGUGAGAAGAGAACUGGAAGCUAGCAGAAAGCCUGAGUUAACUAGCGUCAAGCCGGUGUUGGCGACUUUCGGCUAUGAAAUUCUGGCCAACAUGUCUCCGAAUCUACCAAACUUUGAGAAGAUAAUUGAAUCUGA
Molecule: long non-coding RNA, 779 nt
Organism: Sycon ciliatum
Lineage: Eukaryota; Metazoa; Porifera; Calcarea; Leucosolenida; Sycettidae
Exons: 2
Source: RefSeq, a predicted model, not a curated record